Molecule: ribosomal RNA, 1394 nt
Filed under: metagenome
Description: bacterial SSU rRNA
Rfam family: Archaeal small subunit ribosomal RNA
Source: RNAcentral
GUCUUAAAGGCGUAUACAGCGUCUUUGGCGAACGGCUCAGUAACACGUGGGCAAUCUACCCUCGAGAGGAGCUAAACCCGGGAAACUGGGCAUAAUACUCCAUUUGCAAUAUUGACUGGAAUGUUUUAUUGCAUAAAGAACUCACACUAUGUGAUGUUUCGCUCGAGGACGAGCCUGCGGUGGAUUAGGUUGUUGGCGGGGUAACUGCCCACCAAGCCUUUGAUCCAUACGGGCCUUGGAAGAGGUAGCCCGGAGAAGGACACUGAGAUAAGGGUCCUAGCCCUACGGGGUGCAGCAGUCGCGAAACCUUUACAAUGCGCGAAAGCGUGAUAGGGGGAUUUCGAGUGCCAGUUCUACUGGCUUUUGCCAAGCCCAAAAAGCUUGGCGAAUAAGUGGAGGGCAAGACACGUGCCAGCCGCCGCGGUAAUACGUGCCCCACAAGUGGUAUCCACUAAUAUUGGGCCUAAAACGUCUGUAGCCUGUUCAAUAAGUCUUUGGUGAAAUCACACAGCUUAACUGAGUGAAUUGCUAAGGAUACUAUUGGGCUAGAGGUUGGAAGAGGCAAAGGGAAUGCUUGGGGUAACGGUGAAAUGUUAUGAUCCUAAGUAGACCCCCAGUAGCGAAGGCGCUUUGCCAGUACAAUCCUGACGGUGAGAGACGAAAGCUGGGGGAGCGACCCGGAUUAGAUACCCGGUUAGUCCCAGCCGUAAACGAUGUGGACUAGGUGUCCUAACACCCACGAGGUGCAGGGGUGCCGAAGGGAAGCCAUUAAGUCCACUGCCUGGGAAGUACGCUCGCAAGGGUGAAACUUAAUGGAAUUGGCGGGAGCGCACUACAAGGGGUGGAUGCUGCGGUUUAAUCGGAUAAAACGCCAAAGGAUCUUACCAGGGCUGACAGCAGGAUGAUGGACAGUCUGAAGGGCUUUCCUGACGCGCUGAGAGGUGUUGUAUGGUCAUCGUCAGCUCGUACUAUGAAGCGUCCUGUCAACUCAGGCAACGGGCGAGACCCACAUCCUUAGUUGCUACUCGUUCUAUUGAGCGGGGCACUCUAGGGAGACUGCGGUGGUAACACUGAGGAAGGCGUGGUCCACGGUAGAUCGGUAUGGCCCGAACGCCCUGGGCAACACGCGGCAUACAUUGGUUGAGACAAUGAGUUUCGAACCCGAAAGGGCAAGGUAAUCCCCUAAACUCAACCUAGGUUCGGACCGAGGGUUGUAACUCACCCUCGUGAAGCUGGAAUCCCCAGUAAUCGCGUGUCACUAUCACGCGGUGAAUAAGUCCCUGCGCUUUGCACACACCGCCCAUCAAGCCAGUUGAGUGAGGUACAGAUGAGGUGCUAUCAUUCGAGAGCAACGAUUCUGGACUUUGUAAGACGGGCUAAGUUGUAACAAGGUG